GACGAACGCUGGCGGCGUGCCUAAUACAUGCAAGUAGAACGCUGAAGGAGGAGCUUGCUUCUCUGGAUGAGUUGCGAACGGGUGAGUAACGCGUAGGUAACCUGCCUGGUAGCGGGGGAUAACUAUUGGAAACGAUAGCUAAUACCGCAUAAGAGUAGAUGUUGCAUGACAUUUGCUUAAAAGGUGCAAUUGCAUCACUACCAGAUGGACCUGCGUUGUAUUAGCUAGUUGGUGGGGUAACGGCUCACCAAGGCGACGAUACAUAGCCGACCUGAGAGGGUGAUCGGCCACACUGGGACUGAGACACGGCCCAGACUCCUACGGGAGGCAGCAGUAGGGAAUCUUCGGCAAUGGACGGAAGUCUGACCGAGCAACGCCGCGUGAGUGAAGAAGGUUUUCGGAUCGUAAAGCUCUGUUGUAAGAGAGGAACGAGUGUGAGAGUGGAAAGUUCACACUGUGACGGUAUCUUACCAGAAAGGGACGGCCAACUACGUGCCAGCAGCCGCGGUAAUACGUAGGUGGCAAGCGUUAUCCGGAUUUAUUGGGCGUAAAGAGAGUGCAGGCGGUUUUCUAAGUCUGAUGUGAAAGCCUUCGGCUUAGCCGGAGGAGUGCAUCGAAAACUGGAGAACUUGAGUGCAAAGAGGGUAGUGGACUCCCUGUGUAGCAGGGAAUGACGUCAAAAUAGAAGAACGCCAGUGGGAGGCGGCUGCCUAGUCUGUACUGACACUGAAAGCGAUGAGAGGGGUACGAACAG
Molecule: ribosomal RNA, 754 nt
Filed under: uncultured Streptococcus sp.
Lineage: Bacteria; Bacillati; Bacillota; Bacilli; Lactobacillales; Streptococcaceae
Description: bacterial SSU rRNA
Rfam family: Bacterial small subunit ribosomal RNA
Source: RNAcentral